GACGGAGGAUGCAAGUGUUAUCCGGAAUCACUGGGCGUAAAGCGUCUGUAGGUGGUUUAAUAAGUCAACUGUUAAAUCUUGAGGCUCAACCUCAAAAUCGCAGUCGAAACUAUUAGGCUAGAGUAUAGUAGGGGUAAAGGGAAUUUCCAGUGGAACGGUGAAAUGCGUAGAGAUUGGAAAGAACACCGAUGGCGAAGGCACUUUACUGGGCUAUUACUAACACUCAGAGACGAAAGCUAGGGUAGCAAAUGGG
RNAcentral lists this ribosomal RNA (253 nucleotides) under uncultured bacterium. RNAcentral describes it as "partial 16S ribosomal RNA". It matches the Rfam family "Bacterial small subunit ribosomal RNA", at positions 524 to 776 of the family's 1533-position model. The record is from RNAcentral.